Molecule: long non-coding RNA, 1730 nt
Organism: Ctenopharyngodon idella (grass carp)
Lineage: Eukaryota; Metazoa; Chordata; Actinopteri; Cypriniformes; Xenocyprididae
Exons: 4
Source: RefSeq, a predicted model, not a curated record
CGUAUAGAAUCACGCCAAUUCAUUGGCUGAUGGCGCGGGCGCCUAGUCACUCACUCUAUACAGUGAACGCGCCACCUGCUCCUCAGUUUUUCUUCUUCAGAAGAAGCGGUUUAUCUGGCCCGUGCUUUUCUUUUGGAUAUUCUCUCUUUGUGCUUCUACGACCGCAUAUAGUGGAACUUGCUUCGUUCUCCUUCCGGUGAAGCAUAAAGGAUCUGCGACGUUGCCAGCCGCCGUGCUCUUAUUUCAAAUGACGAUCCACACGGCCUCACUGAGCCAUUGGAUUUUAUGAAAAAUGUCUAAUUUGUGUUCCGAAGAUGAACAAAGGUUUUACAGGUUAAGGACAUAAACGAUUCUCCACAUAAACAAGGAUAAGCACUAUUCAGAUUACUGACCGCAAGGUGAAUACACAACAGCAAUAACAGUCGAAAAUAAAGAAAGGCCAAAGUAUCAGAAACUGAGCCGAGAUGGAGGACCCGAUAUGAAUGCAGAUGGUAAACCAGCAUGUGAGAGGUCACUGAUCAUCCUGCUCCAAAACUGAAACAAUGAGUGGGAAUGUGAAUGUCUCUGAUGGAAAUGAAUGGCCAUCCUGCAGUAACAACACCUCAGAAUUUUCCAUUGUGUGCUCCAACUCCUGCUAUCCCAAUACAGCUCCAGUUUAAGAGCUUUUCCAUUUAAUCUGAAACAUCCUGACUAUCUGACAACCAGCACUUCUUGGGUGUUGGAGUAAAAAAUCCUAGAUAAAGUCCAAAUUACUUUGCUUGCAAGGCCAAGAAUUUGCAUUUAGCAUCAGGGAUUCAUAUAAGUUGUCGACAGGGGCUCAAUGAAGGAUGUUUGCUGCCACAGAUCGCAUUUUUGGCAGAAACGAUUCACAUCACUCUGCAAGCUAAGCCAGUGGAAGUGGCCCCUAAAACAAUCUACAGUCGCUUUUAUCCUCAGAUGACCUGCAAUGGGAGGCAAAUGAGCCAGUCUUAAUACAGUUUCUGUUUCAGUGUUUGGUACGACCAACAGUUCAUGGAUACAGAGCUGACUUGUUCCUUCCAGUGUAGAAGCUCACCAAAAAGCUGUUUAAACCCUGGGCAAUAGAGUGCUGCAGGAAUGAUUUGUUUUUAUAGGCCAAAAGCUGGAACUGAGUUAGCAUUUUAGCACCCGUUUCAUUGUCUUGAAGUCCAUUGUUUUUAUAAAUGGGUUUUUAGUAUACAUGAACUAAGUUCUGUGGUUAACACAAGUUUAAGAUAUUAUCAUGUUUUAUUCUACAACAUAAAAUACAUCAGUAAUCCUUGUUUUUUUUGUUUUUUGUUUUGUUUUGAAGCUUGUCCUGAAAAAGGCGGUUGCUAACAAGUGUCUAAAUGGGAAUACAGAGGUUAUUGGGAACAUGAAACAUCAUCACACAGAAAAAGUAAAUUCAUCUACUGACUAGUUCGCUUUUACAGCCUUGUGUUUAUAAUCUAACUCUUGCAAACUAUUCAAACUUAAACUUUCAGGGACAGUUUUUAACAUUUUGACAUGUUUUUAACAAAUUAUUUUAACAAUUGAGGACAACUCUGUUGUCCUUGUUGGAAAUGCAUGACUUGCAAUGCAAAAACUUACAUACAUACAAAACACUGAACCCUUUUGAUCCUUUUCACACAAAUUAUGAUUAAGGGGCAGAUUAUUGAUUAUUACUAUGUUAUUACCCUUAAAACACUUUUACUAUAGUGUAUGAUGUGUAAACUAAUGCAUUUUGACCUUUA